UUUUUUUUUUUUUUUUUUUUUUCUGUGAGACGGAGUCUUGUACUGUCACUCAGGCUGGAGUGCAAUGGCGCAAUCUCGGCUCACUGCAACCUCCGCCUCUCAGGUUCAAGCAAUUCUCCUGCCUCAGCCUCCCAAGUAGCUAGGACUACAGGUGCCUGCCACCACGCCCGGCUAAUUGUUUUUUUUUGUUUUUUUUUUUAACUUUUAGUAGAGAUGGGGUUUCACUAUGUUGGCCAGGCUGGUCUCAAACUCCCGACCUUGUGAUCUGCCCGCCUCAGCCUCCCAAAAUGGUGGGAUUAUAGGCAUGAGCCACCACGCCAGGCCUUGACUUGCUUUUUCACAAUGAUACAAAGGACUUUUACGAGGUGAGAGUACAAAGCUGAAAAAUUGUUCCCUAAGCACAAAAAUGACUAAACAAAAAUAAAAGGAACAUAACUGGAAGUGGCGAGGUCUUAUGGAGAGAGAAGGAAUCACAAACAUUCUCAUCUAUACAACCACCAGGAUAGGUUAUCAAACUGUCAUCCCCACAGGAGAUCUGCUUGCAAAGGAGGGUUCUAGUUGAGAGCUCACCUAAAGUCCAAAGGCUUAACUCAGAAAUCUCUUGGGUUGCCUCUGAGCUCAUGAAGAUGCAAAAGUGGGGAUUUGGGAUUAUCUACUUCACAAUUUUGUCGUCAUAUUUUAGCCCAGAGAAAAGCUCACUUCUAUACAGUCAUUGUUGCCCCUACAGAUUCACUUUCCAAUUCCCCAAAACAGGGCAUUUUGGGAAAGCAACUGCUUUGGCUGCAAUUUGAUAGGCACAGGUGGCACCACCAGCUGCAAGUAAUUUAGCUCUUACUGGCAUUGCCACAUCUCUUGGACUUUGCAUAUUCUGUGUCAACAGAGAGGAGUACAGGGGAAGAGAAGCCAAGAAGAGAAGACAAUGAGAAUGUGGGAGAAGUAAUGGCAUCCUCAUGGUGCAGGUUCACUGAGGUUGUCAUUUGUGUUCAUUCUUUUGUAAACUGGGCUAGAUGAAGUUAUGGAUGAAGACAAUCAGGUCAGACAUUGGGUCAGCACUAACCACGUGUCAGCAGACAAAACCAACAGGAUCCUUCAGAUGUCCUUUCCAAGCCAGAAACUGGUAUCACUUCCUGCCUGCCAGACAGUGAGGUUCUAGGGAUUGACAUUCUAUUCCAGGUGAAAGUGAUUCUUCUACACAUGAACGCACAUGGGUUCCUCUCUUACCUCCAAAGAGGUAUAGUGGCCAGUCCUUUUUUCUCUGAGCUCCUGAAUACUUGGUUACCCUAGUAGAGUAAACACAGGCUCCAGUUUAGCAAAUUCAAGCCCAAGGGAAGGGAUAUUUGGGGCUCAGGUUUUGACAGUUGAGUAUUUGGGGCUCAGGCUUUGAAAAGCUAUGAAUUACUUAUUUUUCUGGUGGUCCCUUCACAGCCUUUGACUCCUAGUAAAGAUAAGGAUGGCCAGAGACGGAUACCGAGAAAGGAUUAAAAACAAAGGGCACACAGCUAUCAGCAGAGGCUUUACUGGAACAAGAGUGCCAGUUUUCUCCUUCUAAAUUACAAAAUUCCCUGAUCUCUUAAAAAGAAAAAAAGAGAAAAGAAAAGAAAGUCAAGAGCCCUUCAAGGACUUUCUGGUACCACCUGUAUGUUGAGGCCACAAUCAAAGUAAACAGCACAUUCAAGAGCCCAUGCAGUCAGAAACCUGAUUUAAAAAGAUUUUCUCUCUCUAUCUCUUUCAUUACCUCCUGGCCCCAACUUCCUAGGAGCCUUACAAUGUCUCUCAAAAGCAGAAUCCUGAUUGAGAUUCUAGGACAUGCUUUGCUCCCAGAUCGAACCCUCCCCAGAGCUCAGCCCAUGGUUUUGCUCACUGUUCUCCCCAAACGAUGUACAGGUCUUGCUUGAAUGAGACCACUCUAAAUGAACAAGAUACCAUCAUAACAGUGCCACCAAAGAUGACCACUCUCCAGAAAUAUUCCUGGGCAAAUGUUAUUUCGAGGCCCAUUCCUAUAACGCAACAUUCACCUGGGAAGAACAAAACCAGGCUGGCAGCAGAAAGUGUGCUUGCCGUGCCGUCAGCUGCUCAUUCACCAAACCUGGAAAGCAGGUCCCAGAGGGGCUCUGACAGCUCCUACAACUAACCCAUCAGUCAAACAUAUGAUGCUACAAUUUGAUCCAAGAAAGCAAAUAUCAAUUAUAUCCUUCCAAUACUAAAAGGGAAAAAAAAAAGUCCUCAACCAACCAUAGCCAAAGAGAUAACAGCAGCGAGUUUCACUCUGAGGCUGAUCCAGC
RNAcentral lists this long non-coding RNA (2282 nucleotides) under Macaca fascicularis (crab-eating macaque). Its description in RNAcentral is "lncRNA (ENSMFAG00000049548.1)". The record is from RNAcentral. Lineage: Eukaryota; Metazoa; Chordata; Mammalia; Primates; Cercopithecidae.